RNAcentral lists this small nuclear RNA (144 nucleotides) under Hucho hucho (huchen). Its description in RNAcentral is "Flavo-1 RNA (ENSHHUG00000017703.1)". The record is from RNAcentral. Lineage: Eukaryota; Metazoa; Chordata; Actinopteri; Salmoniformes; Salmonidae.
CCCUGCCCCCGAUUGAAGCGAAAAACCCGGAGUUCUGGGAGCAUCAUAACACUUGCCCGGAAAGAGCGACCAACGGAAGCUCCUUUCCGGGCUUAGUGUCAUUGCUUCCAGAAUGAGGAUUUGAAGCGAAAAGCGGGAUUAGGC